This 385-nucleotide ribosomal RNA is filed under the name Veillonella parvula. RNAcentral's name for it is "bacterial SSU rRNA". It matches the Rfam family "Bacterial small subunit ribosomal RNA", at positions 126 to 487 of the family's 1533-position model. The record is from RNAcentral. Lineage: Bacteria; Bacillati; Bacillota; Negativicutes; Veillonellales; Veillonellaceae.
CUGCCCUUCAGAGGGGGACAACAGUUGGAAACGACUGCUAAUACCGCAUACGAUCUAACCUCGGCAUCGAGGAAAAGAUGAAAGGUGGCCUCUAUGUAUAAGCUAUCACUGAAGGAGGGGAUUGCGUCUGAUUAGCUAGUUGGAGGGGUAACGGCCCCCAAGGCGAUGAUCAGUAGCCGGUCUGAGAGGAUGAACGGCCACAUUGGGACUGAGACACGGCCCAGACUCCUACGGGAGGCAGCAGUGGGGAAUCUUCCGCAAUGGACGAAAGUCUGACGGAGCAACGCCGCGUGAGUGAUGACCGGCUUCGGGUUGUAAAGCUCUGUUAAUCGGGACGAAAGGCCUUUCUUGCGAAUAGUGAGAAGGAUUGACGUACCGGAAUAGA